RNAcentral lists this ribosomal RNA (40 nucleotides) under Protocrea farinosa. RNAcentral describes it as "partial 28S ribosomal RNA". Lineage: Eukaryota; Fungi; Ascomycota; Sordariomycetes; Hypocreales; Hypocreaceae. The record is from RNAcentral.
GGUUGACCUCGAAUCAGGUAGGAAUACCCGCUGAACUUAA